GGGCACUUGGCACAGUUGGUAGCGCGCACGCUUCGCAUCACAAGAUUGCGUGAGGUCGUGGGUUCAACUCCCACAGUGUCCA
Non-coding RNA from Suillus americanus, 82 nucleotides. The record is from the annotation of a GenBank genome assembly. NCBI's taxonomy places the organism in Eukaryota, Fungi, Basidiomycota, Agaricomycetes, Boletales, Suillaceae.